This 67-nucleotide transfer RNA is filed under the name Thrips setosus. Its description in RNAcentral is "tRNA-Leu". Lineage: Eukaryota; Metazoa; Arthropoda; Insecta; Thysanoptera; Thripidae. The record is from RNAcentral.
AAUUCUUUAGCAAACUUAAUGCAUUAAGCUUAGAACUUAAAGACAAGAACGACCUUCUUAAGAAUUA